This 86-nucleotide transfer RNA is filed under the name Betaproteobacteria bacterium. RNAcentral's name for it is "tRNA-Leu". It matches the Rfam family "tRNA". Rfam says of the family: Transfer RNA (tRNA) molecules are approximately 80 nucleotides in length. Their secondary structure includes four short double-helical elements and three loops (D, anti-codon, and T loops). Further hydrogen bonds mediate the characteristic L-shaped molecular structure. tRNAs have two regions of fundamental functional importance: the anti-codon, which is responsible for specific mRNA codon recognition, and the 3' end, to which the tRNAs corresponding amino acid is attached (by aminoacyl-tRNA synthetases). tRNAs cope with the degeneracy of the genetic code in two manners: having more than one tRNA (with a specific anti-codon) for a particular amino acid; and 'wobble' base-pairing, i.e. permitting non-standard base-pairing at the 3rd anti-codon position. Lineage: Bacteria; Pseudomonadati; Pseudomonadota; Betaproteobacteria. The record is from RNAcentral.
GCCGGGAUGGCGGAACGGCAGACGCAGCGGACUCAAAAUUCGCCGGUGGCAACACCGUGAGGGUUCGAGUCCCUCUCCCGGCACCA